UACGAAGGGGGCUAGCGUUGCUCGGAAUCACUGGGCGUAAAGCGCACGUAGGCGGCUUCUUAAGUCAGGGGUGAAAUCCUGGAGCUCAACUCCAGAACUGCCUUUGAUACUGGAGAGCUCGAGUCCGGAAGAGGUGAGUGGAACUCCGAGUGUAGAGGUGAAAUUCGUAGAUAUUCGGAAGAACACCAGUGGCGAAGGCGGCUCACUGGUCCGGUACUGACGCUGAGGUGCGAAAGCUAGGGGAGCAAACGGG
RNAcentral lists this ribosomal RNA (253 nucleotides) under uncultured bacterium. RNAcentral's name for it is "partial 16S ribosomal RNA". It matches the Rfam family "Bacterial small subunit ribosomal RNA", at positions 524 to 776 of the family's 1533-position model. The record is from RNAcentral.